Molecule: ribosomal RNA, 911 nt
Filed under: Aspergillus nidulans
Lineage: Eukaryota; Fungi; Ascomycota; Eurotiomycetes; Eurotiales; Aspergillaceae
Description: LSU rRNA
Rfam family: Eukaryotic large subunit ribosomal RNA
Source: RNAcentral
GCAUAUCAAUAAGCGGAGGAAAAGAAACCAACCGGGAUUGCCUCAGUAACGGCGAGUGAAGCGGCAAGAGCUCAAAUUUGAAAGCUGGCCCCUUCGGGGUCCGCGUUGUAAUUUGCAGAGGAUGCUUCGGGUGCGGCCCCUGUCUAAGUGCCCUGGAACGGGCCGUCAGAGAGGGUGAGAAUCCCGUCUUGGGCAGGGUGCCCGUGCCCGUGUGAAGCUCCUUCGACGAGUCGAGUUGUUUGGGAAUGCAGCUCUAAAUGGGUGGUAAAUUUCAUCUAAAGCUAAAUACCGGCCGGAGACCGAUAGCGCACAAGUAGAGUGAUCGAAAGAUGAAAAGCACUUUGAAAAGAGAGUUAAACAGCACGUGAAAUUGUUGAAAGGGAAGCGCUUGCGACCAGACUCGGCCCCGGGGUUCAGCCAGCACUCGUGCUGGUGUACUUCCCCGGGGGCGGGCCAGCGUCGGUUUGGGCGGCCGGUCAAAGGCCCCAGGAAUGUAUCGCCCUCCGGGGUUGUCUUAUAGCCUGGGGUGCAAUGCGGCCAGCCCGGACCGAGGAACGCGCUUCGGCACGGACGCUGGCGUAAUGGUCGCAAACGACCCGUCUUGAAACACGGACCAAGGAGUCUAACAUCUACGCGAGUGUUCGGGUGUCAAACCCGUACGCGCAGUGAAAGCGAACGGAGGUGGGAGCCCCCCCGGGGCGCACCAUCGACCGAUCCUGAUGUCUUCGGAUGGAUUUGAGUAAGAGCGUAGCUGUGGGGACCCGAAAGAUGGUGAACUAUGCCUGAAUAGGGCGAAGCCAGAGGAAACUCUGGUGGAGGCUCGCAGCGGUUCUGACGUGCAAAUCGAUCGUCAAAUUUGGGUAUAGGGGCGAAAGACUAAUCGAACCAUCUGGUAGCUGGUUCCUGCCGAG